AUUGAACGCUGGCGGCAGGCCUAACACAUGCAAGUCGAGCGGAUGAAGGGAGCUUGCUCCUGGAUUCAGCGGCGGACGGGUGAGUAAUGCCUAGGAAUCUGCCUGGUAGUGGGGGAUAACGUCCGGAAACGGGCGCUAAUACCGCAUACGUCCUGAGGGAGAAAGUGGGGGAUCUUCGGACCUCACGCUAUCAGAUGAGCCUAGGUCGGAUUAGCUAGUUGAUGGGGUAAGGGCCUACCAAGGCGACGAUCCGUAACUGGUCUGAGAGGAUGAUCAGUCACACUGGAACUGAGACACGGUCCAGACUCCUACGGGAGGCAGCAGUGGGGAAUAUUGGACAAUGGGCGAAAGUCUGAUCCAGCCAUGCCGCGUGUGUGAAGAAGGUCUUCGGAUUGUAAAGCACUUUAAGUUGGGAGGAAGGGCAGUAAGUUAAUACCUUGCUGUUUUGACGUUACCAACAGAAUAAGCACCGGCUAACUUCGUG
Molecule: ribosomal RNA, 484 nt
Filed under: uncultured bacterium
Lineage: Bacteria
Description: partial 16S ribosomal RNA
Rfam family: Bacterial small subunit ribosomal RNA
Source: RNAcentral